Long non-coding RNA from Arvicola amphibius (Eurasian water vole), 393 nucleotides. RefSeq lists it as uncharacterized. The transcript is spliced from 4 exons. Lineage: Eukaryota; Metazoa; Chordata; Mammalia; Rodentia; Cricetidae. The record is from RefSeq and is a predicted model, not a curated record.
GGGGGACGUCGCUCUUCCGCAGAGAAACUACCUUGCGGUUUUGCUCAACAACAGAUCCCAAAGAGAAUUAAACUAAUCCUGAAUUACUAGUCGCCGUUAAAAUGUUGACGGGAAGUGCAUUGAAAUCAGUACUUGAAAAGCUCCAGCACCCUGCCUUUCUAGGAAGCAAACUGCAGCCCACUGGAACAUGAGGGAUAGAACCUCAGCUUACCUGAUUGGAAAUGAAGCAAUCUUCAUUGAGAUUCUAGCGUGGUUCCAGAGGUGCCCUGGAUGGGAUUCCAGUCAGGUAAGAUAAAAUCAGGAGCCACUAGGGUUGCACAAGGACUUAGGACAUGUCUUUCCACUGUCUGUCACUGGGGUUUCUGGUGAGAAUCAGAACAACUGCAGGGAGGU